This 497-nucleotide ribosomal RNA is filed under the name uncultured bacterium. RNAcentral describes it as "partial 16S ribosomal RNA". It matches the Rfam family "Bacterial small subunit ribosomal RNA", at positions 28 to 507 of the family's 1533-position model. The record is from RNAcentral.
GAUGAACGCUGGCGGCGUGCCUAAUACAUGCAAGUCGAGCGAACGGACGAGAAGCUUGCUUCUCUGAUGUUAGCGGCGGACGGGUGAGUAACACGUGGAUAACCUACCUAUAAGACUGGGAUAACUUCGGGAAACCGGAGCUAAUACCGGAUGAUAUUUUGAACCGCAUGGUUCAAAAGUGAAAGACGGUCUUGCUGUCACUUAUAGAUGGAUCCGCGCUGCAUUAGCUAGUUGGUAAGGUAACGGCUUACCAAGGCAACGAUGCAUAGCCGACCUGAGAGGGGGAUCGGCCACACUGGAACUGAGACACGGUCAAGACUCCUACGGGAGGCAGAAGUAGGGAAGCUUCCGCAAUGGGCGAAGGCCUGACGGAGCAACGCCGCGGGAGUGAUGAAGGUCUUCGGAUCGUAAAACUCUGUUAUUAGGGAAGAACAUAUGUGUAAGUAACUGUGCACAUCUUGACGGUACCUAAUCAGAAAGCCACGGCUAACUACGUG